GCCCCUUCAACCAGAUCACUUCCGCUGAAAGUUUGCAUCUCCCAGUAUCAGUGUUGGGGAAGCCAAAUGAAAUCUAUCAAUCCCAGUUCAGAAUGUAAAGAAACUGAAGAUCCUCUUUCCCCAUAUGGAUUAUUAUAUCAUCAUAGCAUUUGGAGAAGCCAAGAUCAACAAAAAAGCAGUUAGCAGAAUUGUACAUGGCGAUCAUCAGCAGUAUGAAGAGGAGCUGUGGGGCCAGUGAGAGAAGCUGCAGCCUGUUGAGACUCCACAAGACUGAAGAUAUGAAAAGAGGAAAUAUGCAUGAAUGCCCGCACGGAGAACCACCCCCACCUGCUGCUCCCGCUCUAAUGAUCACGCCCAUUAUCAACUGGGGGAUGGCUCUGUGCCUUGUCCUUGCAUUACAUGGACCAAGAACACUUCACAGGACUCAGAGAGUAACACUGAAGAAUGCAGUUUACUUACAUCUUUUUCUGUUUGACAGAAGACAGUUAUUAGAACCCGAAAGGAAGAAGCUAUACGACUGGGGACACAUGUCUUAGAAGCACACUCAUUAGAUAAAGUGUCGCAUACUCUUUGAUAAGGUAAGGCUCCCUGGACGAGAUGUUUUACAGGUACCAUGAGCUCAGUGAAUUGCUUUUGGAAAGACACUCAGCGGAGUGGGCACCACGAGGUUAGGAGAAGCAGCUUCUGCUCGUCAUAACUUUGGCAAAUGUUUACACAUCAGUAAUGAAAAAUAUUCUCUUGGCGAUUUCAGGCUUGUUACUAUGGAUGUUGUUUGCUAACAUUGACUAUUUUUCCUAACUGCUUAUAGAAACUCCAGGCUGUCACCCAUCUGUUCUCUCAUCAAAGUAGUUUUGGGCCAGCAACUAUUUCAGACAUUUCUACAGUUUCAGAUGUCUCACUCUGCCUAUGACUGUAUGUUGUACUUGAGGACUGGACGCACAGGGUAAAGUGCAAAUAGCAAGCAUUCAGGUCCAACUCUCCUCCUUCUGGUUAACAAUAUGAAAGAAAGAGGUAGUAUCGGAAUUAUUUUAGUUCAAUGUAGCCAU
RNAcentral lists this long non-coding RNA (1046 nucleotides) under Homo sapiens (human). RNAcentral describes it as "HSALNT0082538". Lineage: Eukaryota; Metazoa; Chordata; Mammalia; Primates; Hominidae. The record is from RNAcentral.